CAGCAGGGGACACCGCGGGCUUGUAACGAUGAGUUCUCAGAGAAGCCAACCUGCCCAGGCUCCUGGAGCAAAAUCCAAGACUUACCCGGUUCCUUACUUCACCUCCAUC
Molecule: long non-coding RNA, 109 nt
Organism: Chinchilla lanigera (long-tailed chinchilla)
Lineage: Eukaryota; Metazoa; Chordata; Mammalia; Rodentia; Chinchillidae
Exons: 3
Source: RefSeq, a predicted model, not a curated record